AACGCAAAUGAACUCGGAAACAUUGAGGAAAGCUCGAGCCAGAGUUCUCUUUUCUGGUUAAGGAACGGACUCCCUGGAAUCGGUUCAGCCGGAGAUAGGGAUGUUGUUUCCGUAAAGCGCCACGGUUCCUGUGGUGUCUCGUGCGCUUUGUUCGAUCCAUGAAAAUCCGAGGGAAGCUAUUUGAAUUUCGUGCCAGAUCGUACCCAUAUCCGCAGCAGGUCUCCAAGGUGAACAGCCUCUAGUCGAUAGAAUAAUGUAGGUAAGGGAAGUCGGCAAAUUAGAUCCGUAACUUCGGGAUAAGGAUUGGCUCUAAGGACUGGGCCGGUCGGGCUGUAAUGUGAAGUGAGUACGGUUUGAUCCAUGCAGUGUAACAUUAAAAUGAAAACAUUAAAAAAAAAAAAUGUAUUCAUUUUGAUGAAACUCGGCUAGUGUUCGAACUGUCUUAUGGAUCGUUUCAGCUGCAUAUCAACAUUUAUUUUUUUAUUUUUUUUUUUAAAAAAGUAAAUGUUUUAUUUGAUAUUUCGGCCGGCGUUAAACAGUCAACUUAGAACUGGCACGGACUCGGGGAAUCCGACUGUCUAAUUAAAACAGAGGAGACAGAUGGCCCUUGCGGGCGUUGACUGUCUCUGAUUUCUGCCCAGUGCUCUGAAUGUAAAAGUGAAGAAAUUCAACCAAGCGCGGGUAAACGGCGGGAGUAACUAUGACUCUCUUAAGGUAGCCAAA
Molecule: ribosomal RNA, 723 nt
Filed under: Streptococcus oralis
Lineage: Bacteria; Bacillati; Bacillota; Bacilli; Lactobacillales; Streptococcaceae
Description: partial 23S ribosomal RNA
Rfam family: Eukaryotic large subunit ribosomal RNA
Source: RNAcentral